RNAcentral lists this small RNA (44 nucleotides) under Tiarina fusus. Its description in RNAcentral is "Tiarina fusa partial Mitochondrion-encoded tmRNA". Lineage: Eukaryota; Ciliophora; Prostomatea; Prorodontida; Colepidae. The record is from RNAcentral.
AAGGAAUUUAAUAGUGGGCUUGUAAACUCUAAACCUUGGUCAUA